This 7985-nucleotide long non-coding RNA is filed under the name Populus trichocarpa (black cottonwood). Its description in RNAcentral is "long non-coding RNA (PTRI_LNC004585)". The record is from RNAcentral. Lineage: Eukaryota; Viridiplantae; Streptophyta; Magnoliopsida; Malpighiales; Salicaceae.
CAUGUGUAUAUAUAUAUAUAUAGGCGGGAAUACAUUUCCUAGCCAUUUAAUUUGGAUCCGAGAAGGUAAAAAUAAUGGAUGAGCUGCACAAGAUUGCAAGGGCGUAUUACAUCACUGCCAAUGAAGAGAGCAAAUCGCAAGGUAGAAGAUUUUUCAAAAGCAUAGAUCACGACGGGAGUAGAGGAAUAACCAUUCAAGAGUACCUGCCAUACAUGAAGCGGAACGGUCACACAAAAAUGGCGAACCGUCCCUUUUUCGACUAUCUAAACGUAAGUGGAACCGGCGAACUAGAGUUUAUGGAAGUGAUGACUCUCUUCUACAUAAUUAAGAGUGGAAGAAAGUUUUGUGAUGGAUGCGAUGGGCUUCUAAAGGGAACGUUUUUCUCAUGCACCGACUGCUUUGAUCUUGAUGACAAUCUUUGCAGUGAAUGUUUUACUGAAAGCAGUUAUGUCCACCCCCACAGACAUUUUUUGGAUAAUUGGAUAACUAUAUUAUUCUUGAAAACAUGAAGGUGGCAAACAAGGAGGGGCAGAUGAAUCAUCAGGUAAGCUAUAUAUUUUUCUGUUAUUUCACUUGUCAUGUCACAACUAUAUAUAUAUAUAUAUAUAUAUAUAUAUAUAUAUAUAUAUAUUGUACAUAAACAAAUAAAUCAAUCACACGCGCUAGUGUCGAAUUCCUUUCAAUAAUAAUAAUAAUAAUUUUCCUAGAUACUUGUUAACCCAACUCGAUUUUGAUUUUAUAUUUCAGGUCCAAAAUGCGGGUGCUAGCAACGCAAUUGUCUUGUAUAAUCGUCAAAGUCGAUCAAGUGUGAGUUGAUUGGUUCUUAUAUAUCAUUUAGUAAUUAUUGUCCAGUCAAAUCUGCUAUUAUCCAUUAAGAAUAUAUCAUCAAACGAAACCCUCUACAAUAAAAUAUAUUAGUAUAUAUAUACGAUCGGGUAGCUAAUUAAUUAUAUGUACAUAUAUAGCACUAUUUAUUAUUAUUAUUAUUAUUAUUAUUAUUAUUAUUAUAUAUAUAUAUAUAUAUAAAUAAAAUAGCAAUCAUCUCAAGAUUCUAGCUCUUCAUCAAGGUCAUAUUGUUUUACGUCCAUGUCUCUCUAAUUAAGUUGAGCUAUCAAGAAGCUUGAAACCCCAUUAUGAUUAUUUCUUCUUCUUUUUUAAUUUUUCUACGGGGGUAAGACCCGUGACUAGCUUGUUGAUACUAAUAACUUGUUGGUCUUGCUUCUCUCUUUCUUUUACUAGGUCUUCGCGACUGUGUUUCAGGCAGUUGCUACGACGGCGGGUCCUGACUUUCGAAACCCAUGCAAGCAUAAUAAUCUGGGAAUAUAUAUAUAUAUAUAUAUAUAUAUAUAAUCUGGGAAUAUAUAUAUAUAUAUAUAUAUAUAUAUAUAUAUAUAUAUAUAUAUAUAUAUAUAUAUAUAAAGUUACGAAGUUUCUCUAUCCUUUAUGAAUCUGUCAUGUAUUUGGAUUUUGAAUAACGAGGCUAUGUAUUUAGCCAUGUUUGGAUUUUGAAUUGUUAUUAAUACCAUGGUUAUUGUAUUUUUAUGUUUGUGGGUUAUUUUUUUUCCUUGCCUUUAUUCCUCAGUUAUCACGCAUGGCAUGAUCAUCAAACCUGGAUAUUGAUAUAGAGAUUUUAUAUAUCUCCCUUCCUUGUGUUUAGCCAACACCACAGGAAAAAAAAUCAACAACAAAUAUUGAUGGAAAAAUUCUCAUAUGUAGAUUACAGUGAGUUUUACCAACGAAACAAUUCCUCUUAAUAUAUGUCCAUAAACACCGACAAAAAAAUCUUUAUUAGUGUAUGCUGGAGGAAUUAAAGUGGAAAACGAAUGAUUAAAAAAAAAAGAGAUAUAAUGAAAUGUCAUUUUUACAGACAAAAAUACCGAUAAAAUAAACCUGUUGGUAAUAUUCAUCCAUGAAUCUAUCAAUAAUAUUUAAGUUAUGAUAGUUGAGAAUAAUAGAAUGUGUGUUGGGUUGUGCCUUAGCCAACCUUCCUAUUUAUAUAUGUAGGGCAGAACACGGCAGUAACUGUAGGGAUUACAACAUUGGAAUAAUCCUAUAUUAAUUUUCUAUUCUGAUAUAUACUAGCUAUAAAUUCUAUAAUAUGCCCCCUCAAGCUGAGGGUGGGGGAUCAACUCGAAGCUAAAAUUGCAGCUUGAUUUCCGCCUAUUUUGCAGCCUUUCUUGGUCGGCUUUCUCCGCAUUGCCAACCUUUAUUUUAAAACGAAUCUGAAUCUCUUUCUUGGCAACGCGGUCACGGACAAAGUGAUAAUCCACUUCAACAUGCUUAGUACGAGCAUGGAAGAUAGGAUUGGCCGAGAGAUAGGUAGCACCAAGAUUAUCACACCAAAUGGUAGGAGCACAAACUAAAGGAACCUGCAGAUCUGUUAACAAGUAUUGAAGCCAAAUGACUUCAGCAGUACCAUCAGCAAGAGCUUUAUACUCAGCCUCAGUAGAGGAGCGAGUAACUGUGCGUUGCUUGCCGGAUUUCCAAGAAAUCGGUGUCUGACCAAAAAAGACAAGAUAGCCACCCGUAGACUUGCGAUCAUCAAUACUACUAGCCCAAUCUGCAUCUGUAAAGCCAUGUAGAGCAAAAGAGGAGCCUCGAGUGAUAUGAAAACCAUAAGAUGUCGUACCUUUAAGAUAGCGUAGAAUACGCUUAACAGCGGCCCAAUGAGAAUCUGUAGGAGCAUGCAUAAACUGACAGACUCUGUUAACAGCAAAGCAUAUAUCCAAACGGGUGAAGGUAAGAUAUUGAAGAGCACCCACGAUUUGAUGAAAUCGUGUAGGAUCAGAGAAUGAGUGAUCCGGUAAUAAAGUGACUUUCGAAGGGGAGACUGGAGUAUCAACAGGUUUGCAGGAAGUCAUACCAGCGCGGGUGAGGAUGUCAAGAAUAUAUUUAUGUUGACGCAGCAUUAAACCCAUACCGGUAGACUGAACUUCAAUACCCAGAAAGUAGUGAACAGCAACUAAGUCAUGAAGCUUGAACUCAGUGCUAAGUAGCUGUAUUAGAUGAUGAAGCAUAGCAGAGUUGCUACCCGUAAGCAGAAUAUCAUCAACAUACACCAGGAGAUAAAAGAUAUUAGUACCAUCAGAUAAAAGAUAUUAGUAUCAUCAGAUAAAAUAAACAGGGAGGUGUCAACCUUAGAAGCGCGAAAACCAAUGGAGAGCAGAAAAUCACUUAGACGAGUUGAUGUAACCAUGUUAUUCGAUAGUUUCACCCACAUCUACCUAAUGUUUUGUCUAUGUUUUAUGUAUAAAAUGCCUUGAUAUUCUUUGUUUUAUGUUUUGAAGGCACUUUUGGAUGAAAGAUGCAAAAGGGAGUAAAUUGGAGGUAAUUGGCAGAUUUGACGUUCAGUCGAUGUUUUGUGCAGAGCGUGAGUUCUAGAGAUCGAAAUGAAGUGAUUCCAGUGGCACUAAAAAGCUAACAUCCAUACAUUUCUGGAAAUGUAAUGCAAGAAAAAUAAAAAGAGAAAGAUCAUGGAAAUCACAUCCUGCAAAGUCAAAUCUCGCAUUCUGCCAGUGUUGACCUUUGGCCAUUCAAAAUUUAAUAUCUGGAGCUACAGAAGUCCAAUUAAUGAAAACUAAAUUUUCGUGGAUUCCUGACUUAAAGAACUAUCAACGCUCCAAAUUUCAGCCAAAAAAGAUGUCAUAUGAGGGAGAUAUGAUUUUUAAAAGAUGACAUCUGAAUUCUGCCAGCAAACAGGUUUCGUGAAGAAACAAGUCCAAAUUACAUUCCGAAGCAUCUAAACCGACAUCCAAGUUUUUAUAUCAGCAAUUUAGCUCCUCUAAGUCAGAGCUUGAAGAUUUCAUGCAAGGCUAUUUCUCCUUUUAGGAAAAAUAGUUAUUGAAGUACUUAAAUGUAAACUGCCAACUCAAGGAAGGACUAUUUUGUGAAAUAGAGACUAGGGUUUCUUAGCAUAUAAAAAGAAAGAGAGAAGGAGACAGCAGCCAGCAGAAAAGAGGGAGAGCAGAAGGAGGCAGCAGCCAGCAGAGAAUAAACACAAAUUCUCUCCUCUUCAAACCCAAAAAAAUCAUGCUCUUUUCAUUCUUUAGAAGUAGUUGUUCAAUAGUUAUGCAAGGCUAAGCUCUUUUCUUGGUUGCAAGGACACAACUAACCUUUGGAUUUCAAGAACCGUGAGAUUUAUUCUUCCUUUUAUUUUCAGUUUAUGUUAUGAAUGAGUAUGAUGUUUUCCUAUGCAUAUUUUCUAUGAUUGUUGUUGAUGAUUGCUAGAGCGGACUCUAAGUUAUUGUUGUGAACAAUCUAUUGCUAAGUUUAAUAUCAAAACCAGAGUUGUGAUAUAUGAACUUGUGAAGCAACUAAGCUUGAUAAUUGUGGCGGAACUACGUUAUUGAACUUAGGGAGAACAUUUGAACAAAGUGACACAAGCUGCGGACAGCUUGUAUGUUAAUCUUGAUGAAAUUAUCUAGUUCUUAAAGCUACCAUUAAAUUGAAUCAUUAGUGCGGACACUUUGAUUGUUUGUUGGUUAGGAUUAGUUAUACGGCGGAUCCGUUAAUUAAUCAACGUUAAGAAAAGAUAAAAUUUCAGAACAUAAACUGCAAUUUUUGUUUCAAGGAUCGGUUCUAAUUUCCGUUGGUGGAUGUGUGCUUGCGACCAAGGUUUGUUUUCUUGAUAAGUUUUGGUUUUAAUUGAUUUUGUUUGCUAGUUUAAUUGCUGCCAUAGUUUAGAUAAUCACAAACCAAAUCCCCCCAAUUACAUAACGUACAACAUAAAAAUCUGACUUGAAACUUCCUCGUGGGAUCGACCCCUUGCUUGCUCUAUACUAUCUUGUGUGUUGUGUUUGAAGCUAGGGUAAUUAAUUUGUGCGACCGCGACAUCGCAACACGAGUGUACCAUGCUCUCGGUGCCUAUUUCAAACCAUACAAUGAUUUGUGCAAUCUGCACAUAUGAGAUGGAAGAGAGGAGUCAACAAAACCUGGAGGCUGUUUCACGUAGACCUCUUCAGUAAGAACACUAUUGAGGAAGGCAUUAUGAAUAUCAAGCUGAUGAAUCUUCCAAUUUCGCGAAACCGCGAUAGAGAAAACCAAUCGGACAGUGGCCUGCUUAAUAACUGGACUUAAGGUUUCAGAAUAAUCAAUACCUUCCUGCUGGGUAAAACCUCUAGCAACAAGGCGCGCUUUAUAGCGCUCAAUACUACCAUCAACACGACGUUUGAUCCGAUAUACCCAUCUACUGCCAACAACGUUCAUAGAAGAAUGAAAUGGAACCAAAGACCAAGUGUGAUUUGAGCGCAAAGCAGCGAUCUCAUCACACAUAGCAUUAUGCCAAACUGCAUACCGGCGGUCAGCAUCAGAAAAUGCAAAGGGCUCAGAAGAAGGAGAAUGCAGUACCCGUGUGGAGGCAGAGGUGGCGGCAGCGGAAGUAGCCAGGUUUGCUGCCGCGGUCUGAGAGUCAUAGGAUGGCUGCUGCGUGCUGGUGAAGAAGACUGGACUGCUGGUGCUGCAGAGGAAGAAGAUGUAUGUGGCGGUUGUUCCAUUGAAGAAGAGAGGUUGUGCUGCAGAGGAAGAAGAUGUAUGUGCUGAAGGAGAAGUAGGUUAAUUUGCCGAAGAAGAAGGUUGCCGGCUGUGAGAGAAGUAGGUUUAAUUAUUUGCUGCAGGAGAAGGUUGCUGGCUGUGAGAGAAGUAAAGGUUGCCGGCUGUGAGAGAAGUAGGUUAAGUAUUUUUAGGGUUUUGCGGCUCUGAUACCAAGUUGAGAAUAAUAAAAUGUGUGUUGGGUUGUGCCUUAGCCAACCUUCCUAUUUAUAUAUGUAGGGCAGAACACGGCAGUAACUGUAGGGAUUACAACAUUGGAAUAAUCCUAUAUUAAUUUCCUAUUCUGAUAUAUACUAUCUAUACAUUCUAUAAUAAUGAUAUGUUGAGCGACCCCCCCUCUCCUCCUCCCCCAUUCGUUCUUCUUCCUCCAUUUUCUUUGCAAAAAACAGCAACCCCCCUCCUAAAAUGCAUGCCAAAACACAUAUAUUUUUUGUUUUUGUAUGAAAAUAUUAAACGAUAUGAUUUUUUUUUGUUAUAUUUUUUAGAGAUUUAACCAUAUGCAACAUAAAAAAAAAAUUAUUUGUAGUUUUCUAGAAAAACAAAAUGACCCUGAGAGGUUUAAAAGGAAUUUUUCUAAAAAAAACACAUCCUAAAAUAAAAAUAAAAAAUGAAAAAGCAAAACAAAACAAAAGCAAAAGUUGAUUUAUUUUAAAUUAUUACUAAAAGUUAAGUCAAACCACUACUGACUUUUAUAAUAUUUGAGGGAUCAUGACACGUUACUAGACGAUGCACCUAAUUUUCAAAUAUAAAUUAAUCAAUUAUUGAUUUGAUAAUAAAUUAAAUUGUUUAAUUAUAUUUAAUUAUAAUUAGAAUUUAUAUUCGAGCUAUCAUAUUAGGAACCUAAUGGGUCACACACAUUAAGAAACAUUAGUCAGAAAUUAAACUAGGAUGAUUUAAUUAAGUAUGACUUGAUUAAAAUAUAUUUUAGAAAUUAAUUAAUACAUAUAUUAUAUAAUUAAUACAUAUAUUAUAUUUCUAGACCUAGAAAAAUCAAGGACUUGAUUGAGUUAAUUUGUAAAAUUAUCCUGAAUUAGUACGUGGAUAUUAUUCAAGGGACAAAUUGAUAUUUUUGCUAAUUUAUAGGGUUUUUCAGAUUUUCCUAUAAAUAGUAAGCCAUGCCUCUUAUUUUUCUGGGGUUUCAUGUUGGACAGAAAAACUAUGUAAGUCACAUGAUAUAGAGCUAACACUCUAAUCAUAGCAACCACUCUCUUUUAAAUAAAGAUUUAAGAGAUUUCUUACUGGUAGUUUGUGUUGAUUAUUGUUGGAGACCAGACAAAUUGGACGGCUUGUAGUUUGCAACAACUUAAAUCUUUAAAGAAUUAUUUAAAGUCAAAGAAGAUCAUAUCUUUAGGUUCUAGAUCCGUCUAACAUAAUAUUAGAGAAUCCUGAAUAAUUUUAUUUUAUUAUUUUCCAUGCAUGCAUGCUAUUCAGAAAUCCCAACAUCAUUAACCUCUUAAACACGCAGUGGCAGACUGUAACAUGUUGUCACAUUUAUGAUAUUGAGAGGAACAUUCAAAAUGAAAAACCAAGUCACAAAAUGAUGUAUCACCAAAAAUAUGUGAGGCGGAGGGCCAAGUCCACGAAUGCAGAAGACAAAAAAGACUGCAAGGGCGUAUACGAUGUCUUGGUCUUCCUUAAUUUUGUUUAUAUAAAUUAUAUGUACUGGAAGAGAAAAGUAAAGAGAGAUUGAGGGGAACAUUAAUUAAAUUAGAAAAAUCAAGUCACAACCAAAAGUAUGUAACGGAGAAGACGACAAAGACCCUAGACCUAUACGAUGUCUUGGUCUUCCUUAAUUUUGUUUACAUACAUUAUACGUACACAUAAUUAAACUAGGGUUGUCCAUGUGUAUAUAUAUAUAUAUAGGCGGGAAUACAUUUCCUAGCCAUUUAAUUUGGAUCCGAGAAGGUAAAAAUAAUGGAUGAGCUGCACAAGAUUGCAAGGGCGUAUUACAUCACUGCCAAUGAAGAGAGCAAAUCGCAAGGUAGAAGAUUUUUCAAAAGCAUAGAUCACGACGGGAGUAGAGGAAUAACCAUUCAAGAGUACCUGCCAUACAUGAAGCGGAACGGUCACACAAAAAUGGCGAACCGUCCCUUUUUCGACUAUCUAAACGUAAGUGGAACCGGCGAACUAGAGUUUAUGGAAGUGAUGACUCUCUUCUACAUAAUUAAGAGUGGAAGAAAGUUUUGUGAUGGAUGCGAUGGGCUUCUAAAGGGAACGUUUUUCUCAUGCACCGACUGCUUUGAUCUUGAUGACGAGUCCUUCAAUCUUUGCAGUGAAUGUUUUACUGAAAGCAGUUAUGUCCACCCCCACAGACAUUUUUUGGAUAACUAUAUUAUUCUUGAAAACAUGAAGGUGGCAAACAAGGAGGGGCAGAUGAAUCAUCAGGUAUCCUAGCUAGCUAAGCUAUAUAUUUUUCUGUUAUUUCACUUGUCAUGUCA